GAUGAACGCUGGCGGCGUGCCUAAUACAUGCAAGUCGAGCGAACGGACGAGAAGCUUGCUUCUCUGAUGUUAGCGGCGGACGGGUGAGUAACACGUGGAUAACCUACCUAUAAGACUGGGAUAACUUCGGGAAACCGGAGCUAAUACCGGAUAAUAUUUUGAACCGCAUGGUUCAAAAGUGAAAGACGGUCUUGCUGUCACUUAUAGAUGGAUCCGCGCUGCAUUAGCUAGUUGGUAAGGUAACGGCUUACCAAGGCAACGAUGCAUAGCCGACCUGAGAGGGUGAUCGGCCACACUGGAACUGAGACACGGUCCAGACUCCUACGGGAGGCAGCAGUAGGGAAUCUUCCGCAAUGGGCGAAAGCCUGACGGAGCAACGCCGCGUGAGUGAUGAAGGUCUUCGGAUCGUAAAACUCUGUUAUUAGGGAAGAACAUAUGUGUAAGUAACUGUGCACAUCUUGACGGUACCUAAUCAGAAAGCCACGGCUAACUACGUGCCAGCAGCCGCGGUAAUACGUAGGUGGCAAGCGUUAUCCGGAAUUAUUGGGCGUAAAGCGCGCGUAGGCGGUUUUUUAAGUCUGAUGUGAAAGCCCACGGCUCAACCGUGGAGGGUCAUUGGAAACUGGAAAACUUGAGUGCAGAAGAGGAAAGUGGAAUUCCAUGUGUAGCGGUGAAAUGCGCAGAGAUAUGGAGGAACACCAGUGGCGAAGGCGACUUUCUGGUCUGUAACUGACGCUGAUGUGCGAAAGCGUGGGGAUCAAACAGGAUUAGAUACCCUGGUAGUCCACGCCGUAAACGAUGAGUGCUAAGUGUUAGGGGGUUUCCGCCCCUUAGUGCUGCAGCUAACGCAUUAAGCACUCCGCCUGGGGAGUACGACCGCAAGGUUGAAACUCAAAGGGAUUGACGGGGACCCGCACAAGCGGUGGAGCAUGUGGUUUAAUUCGAAGCAACGCGAAGAACCUUACCAAAUCUUGACAUCCUUUGACAACUCUAGAGAUAGAGCUUUCCCCUUCGGGGGACAAAGUGACAGGUGGUGCAUGGUUGUCGUCAGCUCGUGUCGUGAGAUGUUGGGUUAAGUCCCGCAACGAGCGCAACCCUUAAGCUUAGUUGCCAUCAUUAAGUUGGGCACUCUAAGUUGACUGCCGGUGACAAACCGGAGGAAGGUGGGGAUGACGUCAAAUCAUCAUGCCCCUUAUGAUUUGGGCUACACACGUGCUACAAUGGACAAUACAAAGGGCAGCGAAACCGCGAGGUCAAGCAAAUCCCAUAAAGUUGUUCUCAGUUCGGAUUGUAGUCUGCAACUCGACUACACGAAGCUGGAAUCGCUAGUAAUCGUAGAUCAGCAUGCUACGGUGAAUACGUUCCCGGGUCU
RNAcentral lists this ribosomal RNA (1372 nucleotides) under uncultured bacterium. RNAcentral's name for it is "bacterial SSU rRNA". It matches the Rfam family "Bacterial small subunit ribosomal RNA", at positions 28 to 1381 of the family's 1533-position model. The record is from RNAcentral.